UGCACUUAGACACAAGUUAUUUUCUGCC
This 28-nucleotide non-coding RNA is filed under the name Rattus norvegicus (Norway rat). The record is from RNAcentral. Lineage: Eukaryota; Metazoa; Chordata; Mammalia; Rodentia; Muridae.